GGAUGAACGCUAGCUACAGGCUUAACACAUGCAAGUCGAGGGGAAACGACAUCGAAAGCUUGCUUUUGAUGGGCGUCGACCGGCGCACGGGUGAGUAACGCGUAUCCAACCUGCCCACCACUUGGGGAUAACCUUGCGAAAGUAAGACUAAUACCCAAUGACAUCUCUAGAAGACAUCUGAAAGAGAUUAAAGAUUUAUCGGUGAUGGAUGGGGAUGCGUCUGAUUAGCUUGUUGGCGGGGUAACGGCCCACCAAGGCGACGAUCAGUAGGGGUUCUGAGAGGAAGGUCCCCCACAUUGGAACUGAGACACGGUCCAAACUCCUACGGGAGGCAGCAGUGAGGAAUAUUGGUCAAUGGGCGAGAGCCUGAACCAGCCAAGUAGCGUGCAGGAUGACGGCCCUAUGGGUUGUAAACUGCUUUUAUAAGGGAAUAAAGUGAGMSUCGUGASKCUUUUUGCAUGUACCUUAUGAAUAAGGACCGGCUAAUUCCGUGCCAGCAGCCGCGGUAAUACGGAAGGUCCGGGCGUUAUCCGGAUUUAUUGGGUUUAAAGGGAGCGUAGGCYGGAGAUUAAGCGUGUUGUGAAAUGUAGAYGCUCAACRUCUGCACUGCAGCGCGAACUGGUUUCCUUGAGUACGCACAAAGUGGGCGGAAUUCGUGGUGUAGCGGUGAAAUGCUUAGAUAUCACGAAGAACUCCGAUUGCGAAGGCAGCUCACUGGAGCGCAACUGACGCUGAAGCUCGAAAGUGCGGGUAUCGAACAGGAUUAGAUACCCUGGUAGUCCGCACGGUAAACGAUGGAUGCCCGCUGUUGGUCUGAAUAGGUCAGCGGCCAAGCGAAAGCAUUAAGCAUCCCACCUGGGGAGUACGCCGGCAACGGUGAAACUCAAAGGAAUUGACGGGGGCCCGCACAAGCGGAGGAACAUGUGGUUUAAUUCGAUGAUACGCGAGGAACCUUACCCGGGCUUGAAUUGCAGAGGAAGGAUUUGGAGACAAUGACGCCCUUCGGGACCUCUGUGAAGGUGCUGCAUGGUUGUCRUCAGCUCGUGCCGUGAGGUGUCGGCUUAAGUGCCAUAACGAGCGCAACCCCUCUCCUUAGUUGCCAUCAGGUCAAGCUGGGCACUCUGGGGACACUGCCACCGUAAGGUGUGAGGAAGGUGGGGAUGACGUCAAAUCAGCACGGCCCUUACGUCCGGGGCUA
Molecule: ribosomal RNA, 1198 nt
Filed under: human gut metagenome
Description: bacterial SSU rRNA
Rfam family: Bacterial small subunit ribosomal RNA
Source: RNAcentral